Myotis brandtii (Brandt's bat) is the source of this 75-nucleotide non-coding RNA. The record is from Rfam. Lineage: Eukaryota; Metazoa; Chordata; Mammalia; Chiroptera; Vespertilionidae.
GACAGUUCUUGAGUGACUCACCCCAGAAUCGGGCUCCCUCCUCUCUAGUUCCGGGUGCGUUGCCCCAGAACCGCA